ACGGGAGGCAGCAGCUAAGAAUAUUCCGCAAUGGACGAAAGUCUGACGGAGCGACGCCGCGUGGAUGAUGAAGGUCGGAAGAUUGUAAAAUCCUUUUAUAUAUGAAGAAUAAGCAUGGUGAGAGAAACGCCGUGUGGUGACCGUAGUAUAUGAAUAAGCAACGGCUAAUUACGUGCCAGCAGCCGCGGUAACACGUAAGUUGCGAGCGUUGUUCGGAAUUAUUGGGCGUAAAGGGCAUGUAGGCGGUUUUGCAAGCUUGGUGUGAAAUCUCGGAGCUCAACUCCGAAAUUGCGUUGAGAACUGCAUAACUAGAGUCACUGAGGGGCAAUCAGAAUUCCAGGUGUAGGGGUGAAAUCUGUAGAUAUCUGGAAGAAUACCAAUGGCGAAGGCAGGUUACCAGCAGAUGACUGACGCUGAGGUGCGAAGGUGCGGGGAGCAAACAGGAUUAGAUACCCUGGUA
RNAcentral lists this ribosomal RNA (460 nucleotides) under uncultured Treponema sp. Its description in RNAcentral is "partial 16S ribosomal RNA". It matches the Rfam family "Bacterial small subunit ribosomal RNA", at positions 341 to 792 of the family's 1533-position model. The record is from RNAcentral. Lineage: Bacteria; Pseudomonadati; Spirochaetota; Spirochaetia; Treponematales; Treponemataceae.